RNAcentral lists this long non-coding RNA (199 nucleotides) under Brassica rapa (field mustard). RNAcentral's name for it is "long non-coding RNA (BRAP_LNC002126)". Lineage: Eukaryota; Viridiplantae; Streptophyta; Magnoliopsida; Brassicales; Brassicaceae. The record is from RNAcentral.
AAAAAGUUGUUGAGACAGUGCCCCUUGAGUUCUCCAAAUUCCUAUUUGUCAAAUUGAUGCAUCAUAGAUCAAUAAUGCAACGUCGGUGGUUUAGGAUGUAGUCUUAAAGAUUAAAUGGACUUGGAAUAUUUCGGAUUACAGGGUUGCAAUAGAAUUUCUCAGCUUUGCAUCCUGAAAUGGAAAAUCUACUUUGGGCAUC